CCUACGGGGGGCAGCAGUGGGGAAUAUUGCACAAUGGGGGAAACCCUGAUGCAGCGACGCCGCGUGAGUGAAGAAGUAAUUCGUUAUGUAAAGCUCUAUCAGCAGGGAAGAAAAUGACGGUACCUGAGUAAGAAGCCCCGGCUAACUACGUGCCAGCAGCCGGGGUAAUACGUAGGGGGCAAGCGUUAUCCGGAUUUACUGGGUGUAAAGGGAGCGUAGACGGCAGUGCAAGUCUGGAGGGAAAGGCGGGGGCUUAACCCCCGGACUGCCCUGGAAAACGUACGGCGUGAGUGCAGGAGAGGUAAGUGGAAUUCCUGGUGUAGCGGUGAAAUGCGGAGAUAUUAGGGGGAACACCAGUGGCGAAGGCGGCUUACUGGACUGUAACUGACGUUGAGGCUCGAAAGCGUGGGGAGCAAACAGGAUUAGAUACCCGAGUAGUC
RNAcentral lists this ribosomal RNA (440 nucleotides) under uncultured bacterium. RNAcentral describes it as "partial 16S ribosomal RNA". It matches the Rfam family "Bacterial small subunit ribosomal RNA", at positions 338 to 795 of the family's 1533-position model. The record is from RNAcentral.